AAGUCGUAACAAGGUUUCCGUAGGUGAACCUGCGGAAGGAUCAUUACCAGGUGGAGUAGACUUCGCGUCUGCACCUCCCUCCCUUUGCUUACACGUAAUCGUUGCUCGAGUGGGCUGCCUCACCGCGCCCGCGAGAGAAUAACUUAACCCUUUUUGUUUAUGAGAGUCUGAGUCUAUGACAAAUGAAUAAAACUUUCAACAACGGAUCUCUUGGUUCCA
Molecule: unclassified non-coding RNA, 219 nt
Filed under: air metagenome
Description: partial contains small subunit ribosomal RNA, internal transcribed spacer 1, and 5.8S ribosomal RNA
Rfam family: Eukaryotic small subunit ribosomal RNA (bases 1-46)
Source: RNAcentral